This 694-nucleotide long non-coding RNA is filed under the name Lactuca sativa (garden lettuce). Its description in RNAcentral is "long non-coding RNA (LSAT_LNC004669)". Lineage: Eukaryota; Viridiplantae; Streptophyta; Magnoliopsida; Asterales; Asteraceae. The record is from RNAcentral.
UAACCAGAAAGAUACUAUCGGAAAAGGUUUUCCACCGGCGCUUCCUGAUAUUCCUGCGCCGUUCUUGCCGCCGAUCGGUGGAGGUAUUUUACCUCCUCUUCCGGUGCCGGAUGUACCCAUGCCACCUCUAAUUCCCCCGCUACCACAGCUCCCUGGUAUUCCACUUCCACCUGUUACCCGCCAAAAAUCAUCGGAAUCCGAUAGAUUGGCCGAUCAAAAAAGUUUUGGUUUCCCGUUUCCACCGCCACUGUUCCCACCGCUGCCGUUUGUGCCAUCGCCGCCGUCAUUGAUUCCUCCCGUCAUUCCAACACCACCACCGUCACUGUUCCCUCCCCUCGUUCCAUCAACACCACCAUCAUUGUUUCCUCCCCUCGUUCCAUCACCACCAUCAUCGAUGUUUCCACCAUUGCCCUUUCCACCUGUACCAGGUUUGAUUCCAUCACCGCCGCCGCCACCACCGCCGGCGUUCCCAAUUCCUCUGCCUCCACUACCUCCGCUACCUCCGCUACCUCCAGUACCUCCGGUACCAGGAGUCCCACCGGCGAAAACCUCCCCUUGAUUAAACUCGUAUAUAUUUAAUAUUAUUACUGCAUAACCUUUUGAAGUAACCUUUCCAUACAUACGCGCGUAUUACAAUUAUGGGUAUUGUAAUUGUAGCAUGAAUAAAUCGUACAUGGUAAAAUGGUUGGGAUUC